GCUUAUUCUCAGGGCGGGGUGCAAUUCCCCACCGGCGGUAUCCCGAUUUUCGGGGAGCCCGCGAGCGCUCCUUUGCCGUAUCGAGGAGGUCAGCAGACCUGGUGAGAGGCCAGGGCCGACGGUAACAGUCCGGAUGAAAGAGGAUAAGU
Molecule: non-coding RNA, 149 nt
Filed under: Desulfosarcina cetonica
Lineage: Bacteria; Pseudomonadati; Thermodesulfobacteriota; Desulfobacteria; Desulfobacterales; Desulfosarcinaceae
Description: FMN
Rfam family: FMN riboswitch aptamer (RFN element)
About the family: The RFN element is a highly conserved domain that is found frequently in the 5'-untranslated regions of prokaryotic mRNAs that encode for flavin mononucleotide (FMN) biosynthesis and transport proteins. This element is a metabolite-dependent riboswitch that directly binds FMN in the absence of proteins. In Bacillus subtilis, the riboswitch most likely controls gene expression by causing premature transcription termination within the 5' untranslated region of the ribDEAHT operon and precluding access to the ribosome-binding site of ypaA mRNA.
Source: RNAcentral